This 406-nucleotide ribosomal RNA is filed under the name uncultured bacterium. Its description in RNAcentral is "partial 16S ribosomal RNA". It matches the Rfam family "Bacterial small subunit ribosomal RNA", at positions 30 to 526 of the family's 1533-position model. The record is from RNAcentral.
AUUGAACGCUGGCGGCAGGCCUAACACAUGCAAGUCGAGCGAGUGGCGGACGGGUGAGUAAUGUCUGGGGAACUGCCUGAUAGAGGGGGAUAACUACUGGAAACGGUAGCUAAUACCGCAUACCAUCGGAUGUGCCCAGAGGGGAUUAGCUAGUAGGUGGGGUAAAGGCUCCCCGAGGCGACGAUCCCUAGCUGGUCUGAGAGGAUGACCAGCCACACUGGAACUGAGACACGGUCCAGACUCCUACGGGAGGCAGCAGUGGGGAAUAUUGCACAAUGGGCGCAAGCCUGAUGCAGCCAUGCCGCGUGUAUGAAGAAGGCCUUAGGGUUGUAAAGUACUUUCAGCGGGGAGGCGUUACCCGCAGAAGAAGCACCGGCUAACUCCGUGCCAGCAGCCGCGGUAAUUC